Molecule: transfer RNA, 66 nt
Filed under: Anomala luculenta
Lineage: Eukaryota; Metazoa; Arthropoda; Insecta; Coleoptera; Scarabaeidae
Also listed under: 1 other name
Description: tRNA-Leu
Source: RNAcentral
CUUUGGCAGAUUAGUGCUUUAAAUUUAGAAUUUAAAUAAGUGUAUUUUUUACACAGGUAAUACAUU